This 376-nucleotide ribosomal RNA is filed under the name Paralabrax auroguttatus (goldspotted sand bass). RNAcentral describes it as "partial 12S ribosomal RNA". It matches the Rfam family "Bacterial small subunit ribosomal RNA", at positions 961 to 1533 of the family's 1533-position model. Lineage: Eukaryota; Metazoa; Chordata; Actinopteri; Perciformes; Serranidae. The record is from RNAcentral.
UCGUUCAACCUCACCCUUCCUUGUUUUUAUCCGCCUAUAUACCGCCGUCGUCAGCUUACCCUGUGAAGGCCCUAUAGUAAGCAAAAUUAGCAUAGCUCAGUACGUCAGGUCGAGGUGUAGCGCAUGGAAAGGGAACAGAUGGGCUACAUUCCCUAAUUUUAGUGAAUACGAAUUAUGCAUUGAAACAUGCAUAUGAAGGAGGAUUUAGUAGUAAGCCAGAAGUAGAGUGUCUCGCUGAAAUCGGCCCUAAAGCGUGCACACACCGCCCGUCACUCUCCCCAAAUCUGUGUAAACACCUAUAUAUAAACCCCUAUAAUUUUAAAGGGGAGGCAAGUCGUAACAUGGUAAGCGUACCGGAAGGUGUGCUUGGGUAAAU